CGGGACACACUGGUACUCCCCGGGACACACUGGCACUCCCUGGGGCACAUUGGCACUCCCUAUGACACAGUGGGACUCCCUGGAACACUUUUUUUAUUAAAGGAAUUAUUUUUCUCUAUCCUUUUCGCUACUGACCUAUCUAUCUAUCUAUCUAUCUAUCUAUCUAUCUAUCUAUCUAUAUCUAUCUAUCUAUCUAUCUAUCUACCAAUCAGCAUUAACCACCCAUUAAGGUACGGUAACUACCAUUAUUGUAGUCUGGGAAGUAAUUCGGCUAUAUUUCUCCAUGUAAGGUUUUCUGAGUUAAAGGUGGAGUUAAUUUGAGAAGUAUUAUAUUAUUCUUAGAUAAAAAUAAAUGUGUUGGUAAUAUUAAAGUAUUUUUAAUUAUAUAAUUAAGUAAAUCAGUAAUGUUGGCAGCCCUGAUUCGUCAACCCAGGACUCUUUCCGAAGCUGAACAAUUAAGAGUACUGAACAGUAUUCUUGUUUAUAUUAAUUUUUACGUAAUUUUAUCUUUAUUGUUUCUUUUCUACACUACGAUAUAAAUUAAUUUACCCUAAAUUUUGUAUUAAAAUUUGCAUGUACGAUUAAGAAUGGGUUUAUUUUUUAAUUUUUCCUCGUUCGGAUUUGUUUUUUGGCGGGACGAAGGCGAGACAGGUGAUUGGUACGUCACUUGUGAAGCUCCAGGUCAGUGCUAAUAGAGACGUAAGGGAAGGAGGUGCUGUCGGUCGUCUCUCUCACUGGACAGUCUUGGUUCUGAACCUUGUCAAGGAGAGGUGUGCACUCUGCUGUACCACACAUCUUGCCUCACUUGUACUGCUGUACUAGGCUUCUCUCCUCCAAUAUCAGGAUGGCAAGUGAUUCACAACACAACUGAAGGAAGCAGGUGAUACAGCCCAGAACCAGCCUUCCACCCCUCCUCUCUACCUCAGAUAUGUUCUGAACACUGGAGUGCCGUGCUGCCCUAGACUGUGCUUACUGGCCACUGCCCUGUACUUGCUUGCUGCUGCUGCCCUGGACGGCUCUGCUCUGUGCUUGCUGGCUGCUGCCCUGGACGGCUCUGCUGUGUGCUUGCUGGCUGCU
RNAcentral lists this long non-coding RNA (1077 nucleotides) under Homarus americanus (American lobster). RNAcentral describes it as "uncharacterized LOC121878850, transcript variant X1". The record is from RNAcentral. Lineage: Eukaryota; Metazoa; Arthropoda; Malacostraca; Decapoda; Nephropidae.